This 494-nucleotide ribosomal RNA is filed under the name uncultured bacterium. RNAcentral describes it as "partial 16S ribosomal RNA". It matches the Rfam family "Bacterial small subunit ribosomal RNA", at positions 28 to 507 of the family's 1533-position model. The record is from RNAcentral.
GACGAACGCUGGCGGCGUGCUUAACACAUGCGAGUCGAACGGUGAAGCGCCUUCCUUUGUGGGGGGUGUGGAUGAGUGGCGAACGGGUGAGUAACACGUGAGUAACCUUCCCCCUUCUUCGUGAUAACCGCAUGAAAGUGUUGCUAAUACGGGAUAUUCUGGGUCUGUCGCAGGAUGGGUCUGGGUAAGAUAUUGUUUCGGUUGGUGAUGGGCUCGCGGCCUAUCAGCUUGUUGGUGGGGUGAUGGCCUACGAAGGCGGUGACGGGUAGCCGGCCUGAGAGGGUGGACGGUCACACUGGGACUGAGGCACGGCCAAGACUGCUACGGGAGGCAGCAGUAGGGAAUAUUGCACAAUGGGGGCAAGAAUGAUGCAGCGACGCCGAGUGAGGGAUGGAGGCCUGCGGGUUGUGAAACUCUUUCGCUAGUGAAGCAGGACUGCCUCGUUUGUGGGUGGGUUGACGGUAGCUGGAUAAGAAGCGCCGGCUAACUACGUG